RNAcentral lists this ribosomal RNA (387 nucleotides) under uncultured bacterium. Its description in RNAcentral is "bacterial SSU rRNA". It matches the Rfam family "Bacterial small subunit ribosomal RNA", at positions 29 to 419 of the family's 1533-position model. The record is from RNAcentral.
AUUGAACGCUGGCGGCAUGCUUUACACAUGCAAGUCGAACGGCAGCGCGGGGGCAACCCUGGCGGCGAGUGGCGAACGGGUGAGUAAUGCAUCGGAACGUAUCCUGUAAUGGGGGAUAACGUAGCGAAAGUUACGCUAAUACCGCAUACGCUCGAGAGAGGAAAGUGGGGAUCGCAAGACCUCACGUUAUAGGAGCGGCCGAUGUCCGAUUAGCUAGUUGGUGGGUAAAGGCCUACCAAGGCGACGAUCGGUAGCCGGUCUGAGAGGAUGAUCAGCCACACUGGGACUGAGACACGGCCCAGACUCCUACGGGAGGCAGCAGUGGGGAAUUUUGGACAAUGGGCGAAAGCCUGAUCCAGCCAUGCCGCGUGCGGGAAGAAGGCCUUC